RNAcentral lists this ribosomal RNA (484 nucleotides) under uncultured Acaulospora. RNAcentral describes it as "SSU rRNA". It matches the Rfam family "Eukaryotic small subunit ribosomal RNA", at positions 569 to 1056 of the family's 1831-position model. Lineage: Eukaryota; Fungi; Glomeromycota; Glomeromycetes; Diversisporales; Acaulosporaceae. The record is from RNAcentral.
AGCAGCCGCGGUAAUUCCAGCUCCAAUAGUGUAUAUUAAAGUUGUUGCAGUUAAAAAGCUCGUAGUUGAAUUUCGGGAUUUAUCCGUCGGUCGGGCUUUUGGGUCUGUACUGGCGUGAUGGAUUCCUACCUUCUGAAUAACCGGCAUGUCAUUAAUUUGGUGCGCCGGGGAAGCAGGACUGUUACCUUGAAAAAUUAGAGUGCUUAAAGCAGGCUUAUGCCUGAAUACAUUAGCAUGGAAUAAUGAAAUAGGACGGCAUGGUUCUAUUUUGUUGGUUUCUAGGAUCACCGUAAUGAUUAAUAGGGAUAGUUGGGGGCAUUAGUAUUCAAUUGUCAGAGGUGAAAUUCUUGGAUUUAUUGAAGCUAACUUCUGCGAAAGCAUUUGCCAAGGAUGUUUUCAUUAAUCAAGAACGAAAGUUAGGGGAUCGAAGACGAUCAGAUACCGUCGUAGUCUUAACCAUAAACUAAUGCCGACUAGGGAUCGG